UACGUAGGGGGCAAGCGUUGUCCGGAAUCAUUGGGCGUAAAGCGCGUGUAGGCGGCCUUGUAAGUCCGUUCUGAAAGCCCGGGGCUCAACCCCGGGAGGCGGAUGGAUACUGCAAGGCUCGAGUACGGAAGAGGCGAGUGGAAUUCCCGGUGGAGCGGUGAAAUGCGUAGAGAUCGGGAAGAACGCCGGCGGCGAAAGCGACUCUCUGGUCGGAAUCUGACGCUGAGGUGCGAAAGCUAGGGGAGCAAACGGG
This 253-nucleotide ribosomal RNA is filed under the name uncultured bacterium. Its description in RNAcentral is "partial 16S ribosomal RNA". It matches the Rfam family "Bacterial small subunit ribosomal RNA", at positions 524 to 776 of the family's 1533-position model. The record is from RNAcentral.